UACGGGGGGGGCAAGCGUUGUUCGGAAUUACUGGGCGUAAAGGGUUCGUAGGUGGCUCGCUAAGUCAGACGUGAAAUCCCUCAGCUUAACUGGGGAACUGCGUCUGAGACUGGCAAGCUUGAGUGCAGGAGAGGAACGCGGAAUUCCAGGUGUAGCGGUGAAAUGCGUAGAUAUCUGGAGGAACACCGGUGGCGAAGGCGGCGUCCUGGACCAACACUGACACUGAGGAGCGAAAGCCAGGGGAGCAAACGGG
RNAcentral lists this ribosomal RNA (253 nucleotides) under uncultured bacterium. RNAcentral describes it as "partial 16S ribosomal RNA". It matches the Rfam family "Bacterial small subunit ribosomal RNA", at positions 524 to 776 of the family's 1533-position model. The record is from RNAcentral.